Molecule: ribosomal RNA, 424 nt
Filed under: uncultured bacterium
Lineage: Bacteria
Description: bacterial SSU rRNA
Rfam family: Bacterial small subunit ribosomal RNA
Source: RNAcentral
GGAAUUGUUCGCAAUGGGCGCAAGCCUGACGACGCAACGCCGCGUGGAGGAUGAAGGGCUUCGGCUCGUAAACUCCUUUCGACCGAGAUGAACAUCCCCGGGGUUAAUACCUCCGGGGACUGACAGUAUCGAGGGAAGAAGCCCCGGCUAACCCCGUGCCAGCCGCCGCGGUAAUACGGGGGGGGCAAGCGUUGUUCGGAAUUACUGGGCGUAAAGGGUUCGUAGGUGGCCAACUAAGUCAGGAGUGAAAUCCCUCAGCUUAACUGGGGAACUGCUUCUGAUACUGGUUGGCUUGAGUGCAGGAGAGGAAUGCGGAAUUCCAGGUGUAGCGGUGAAAUGCGUAGAUAUCUGGAGGAACACCGGUGGCGAAGGCGGCAUUCUGGACUGUAACUGACACUGAGGAACGAAAGCCAGGGGAGCAAAC